RNAcentral lists this ribosomal RNA (411 nucleotides) under Verrucomicrobiota bacterium. RNAcentral's name for it is "Verrucomicrobia bacterium partial 16S ribosomal RNA". It matches the Rfam family "Bacterial small subunit ribosomal RNA", at positions 355 to 776 of the family's 1533-position model. The record is from RNAcentral. Lineage: Bacteria; Pseudomonadati; Verrucomicrobiota.
UGGGGAAUAUUGCGCAAUGGGGGAAACCCUGACGCAGCGACGCCGCGUGCGGGAUGAAGGCCUUCGGGUUGUAAACCGCUUUUGAUUGGGAGCAAGCUUUCGGGUGAGUGUACCUUUCGAAUAAGCGCCGGCUAACUACGUGCCAGCAGCCGCGGUAAUACGUAGGGGGCUAGCGUUGUCCGGAAUCACUGGGCGUAAAGGGUUCGCAGGCGGAAUAACAAGUCAGAUGUGAAAGGCAUGGGCUCAACCCAUGUAAGCAUUUGAAACUGUAAUUCUUGAGAAGUGGAGAGGUAAGUGGAAUUCCUAGUGUAGCGGUGAAAUGCGUAGAUAUUAGGAGGAAUACCUGUGGCGAAGGCGACUUACUGGACACAAAUCUGACGCUGAGGAACGAAAGCGUGGGUAGCAAACAGG